GACGAACGCUGGCGGCGUGCCUAAUACAUGCAAGUAGAACGCUGAAGAGAGGAGCUUGCUCUUCUUGGAUGAGUUGCGAACGGGUGAGUAACGCGUAGGUAACCUGCCUUGUAGCGGGGAUAACUAUUGGAAACGAUAGCUAAUACCGCAUAACAAUGGAUGACACAUGUCAUUUAUUUGAAAGGGGCAAUUGCUCCACUACAAGAUGGACCUGCGUUGUAUUAGCUAGUAGGUGAGGUAACGGCUCACCUAGGCGACGAUACAUAGCCGACCUGAGAGGGUGAUCGGCCACACUGGGACUGAGACACGGCCCAGACUCCUACGGGAGGCAGCAGUAGGGAAUCUUCGGCAAUGGGGGCAACCCUGACCGAGCAACGCCGCGUGAGUGAAGAAGGUUUUCGGAUCGUAAAGCUCUGUUGUAAGUCAAGAACGAGUGUGAGAGUGGAAAGUUCACACUGUGACGGUAGCUUACCAGAAAGGGACGGCUAACUACGUGCCAGCAGCCGCGGUAAUACGUAGGUCCCGAGCGUUGUCCGGAUUUAUUGGGCGUAAAGCGAGCGCAGGCGGUUUGAUAAGUCUGAAGUUAAAGGCUGUGGCUCAACCAUAGUUCGCUUUGGAGACUGUCAAACUUGAGUGCAGAAGGGGAGAGUGGAAUUCCAUGUGUAGCGGUGAAAUGCGUAGAUAUAUGGAGGAACACCGGUGGCGAAAGCGGCUCUCUGGUCUGUAACUGACGCUGAGGCUCGAAAGCGUGGGGAGCGAACAGG
Molecule: ribosomal RNA, 764 nt
Filed under: uncultured Streptococcus sp.
Lineage: Bacteria; Bacillati; Bacillota; Bacilli; Lactobacillales; Streptococcaceae
Description: bacterial SSU rRNA
Rfam family: Bacterial small subunit ribosomal RNA
Source: RNAcentral